UUUCUGUGUCAUCUCUUCGCAGGCCAAAAGGUGUUGGGCGCUCAGCGGUGUGAGUUGGGGCGCAGACUUGCACCGCAGGACGCGAGGUGCUGACACGGGAGGUGCCUCCGGACCGGAGCAGCGCUUGGACACCUGCUCUGACCACCACUGAAGUGUCACCAGGUCUCUUACCCAGCUGCAGUGUCCUCACAGGGUGAGAGCCUGCUGGGAGCCUCAUCUGAAGAACAACGCAGUACUGGGGUACCCAAGGAGGGCUAAAGGACGUCCAUCAGGAGAGUCUGAUCUUGGAAACUUCAACAGUGUGGCCUGACAUGACACAUGUUUAUUCAUCCUCUGCUUUCACAACGGGCUAAUAAAGGUCUGCAGUGCCUGGAGAAGGCAGGUGCUGCUGUAGGGGAGCACGGGCUCGAGCCACGUAAUCAUCCAUUGCCCCACGUGCAAGCCGGAUAGCC
Molecule: long non-coding RNA, 452 nt
Organism: Harpia harpyja (harpy eagle)
Lineage: Eukaryota; Metazoa; Chordata; Aves; Accipitriformes; Accipitridae
Exons: 3
Source: RefSeq, a predicted model, not a curated record